Long non-coding RNA from Oryzias melastigma (Indian medaka), 1559 nucleotides. RefSeq lists it as uncharacterized. NCBI's taxonomy places the organism in Eukaryota, Metazoa, Chordata, Actinopteri, Beloniformes, Adrianichthyidae. The transcript has 3 exons. The record is from RefSeq and is a predicted model, not a curated record.
AUGUCGAACGAUGUCAACACUUCACUCGCCGUCGCGUUUGUGGCCUAGCAACACAAGCAGCGACCUCGAGUUUACAGCGUCCGCACACCCGCCAUUUAAGAGCGCGGCACAGGACUUCACCAAAUUCCACCCGAGCUGCGUCAGCAGCUUUGUUGCUAGGGGAUCUGAAGUGCCUGCUAGCUGCUAGCUAAUGUAAACAACACAGGACCGUCGGAAGCUUCGGAGAAAGCACAUGCAGCUCCCAGGAAGUCGAUGAGAGUCACAGCAGAGGUGGGAACGCCGUAGUCCGGCCAGCUGAGAUACUGGAAGUGACUAACCUGUCUCUGUUCACAUGUCUGGACACAAAAAAGAGUAAACAAAAAAAAAGGUUAUUCUACACACAUUAUUGAUGGAUUUUAAACAGCCAUUUCACACAUUUAUAGAGGAUAUUUUUAAGAGGAAGUGACUAAUGUCAAACAAGUAGCAAACACCUCGUCUCUGCAGAAUACGAUUUUUGGAUGUAUUUGUUAUGACUUCACUAGUGCACAUACAUAAGCAUCCUAUGUGCACAGCCUCCAACAACAGAGUUGAGAGGGUAGGGAGUUUUAAAUUUAUUACAUUUGUACACACACUGCCUACUGAGACAGGGUUACAACACAAUUACACAGUAGAUGUGUGGAACAGUGAGGGGAGCCACAAAGUAUUAACAGUGAAAGAAUGUAAAGUUGUCAAUUCUGGCUGCCUUGCUUAUCUUUCUUUUAUAUAUAUAAUUUAGUUUUUUUUCAAAAUUCCCAAAAAUACACGUUUGUAUAUAUUGGGAAUAUGUUUAUAUAAAGUAAUAUCUGGAGUUCAAGGAUGUCAUUAGUGUCUUGUUUUUAUUAAUAGGUCUCAAUCAGCAAAUGUUUUGAUGUACUUUCUAUAUUUUUUGCUAGAUAUAUAUGUUGUGAAACUUGAGAAAAUUAAUUGUAUUCGAAAAUCUUGUUAUUUUGUCCGUUUUUCAUUUUUACUGAUCUAAAAAAUGAUCCGAACCGUGAGUUCUGGGAUCCGUUGCACCCCUAAAAUGAUAAACAAAUGAAUGACAGCAGGUGCAUAGAUAAAGGUGCACAUUGUUAUGUCCGUGUAAGCCUGUUCACAGCUUUAUUUCUGCAUCGUCUCGAAGUGUAUUACUAUGCAGGACUGCAUAAAAGUUUCAUUUAGGUCCUGUAGUGACAGUGAGGAAAGUUGGCUCACUACACUACGUCUUUUCCAGGACAUCCCAACUAUCAUGAGAUCUUAAGUCCCCCUCUGAUGAAAUUCUUGUUUUUUGAGUUUUUAACAUGUAUGUGUGUCAUUUUUCUUAUGAACGAGAACAAAUGUAAUAAGAAAUCAUUUUGAUUUUGCAUUUCUGAGUAUCUCUCUGUCAAUCAAACUGCUGCAGAAACGCUGUUUGAAUUAAUGAGGCGUUCUGACCUCACAGCGUGCACAGGCUGUGCAGGAGAAGAAAAUAUGGCAUCUUCUCAUGUCUGUGCUGUAGAGGGCUGCAAUUCAAUGGAAGGCCAAACUGUUCAGUGGUAUUACAAAAUAAACGUUCUAACAAGUGA